GACGAACGCUAGGCGGCGUGCCUAACACAUGCAAGUCGAACGGGGUGAAGAGCUUCGGCUUUUCACUUAGUGGCGAACGGGUGAGUAACGCGUGAGAAACCUGCCUUUCAGUGGGGGACAACAGUUGGAAACGACUGCUAAUACCGCAUAACGUAUCGAGGGGGCAUCCUCUUGAUACCAAAGCUUUAUGUGCUGAAAGAUGGUCUCGCGUCUGAUUAGCUAGAUGGCGGGGUAACGGCCCACCAUGGCGACGAUCAGUAGCCGGUCUGAGAGGAUGAACGGCCACAUUGGGACUGAGAUACGGCCCAG
RNAcentral lists this ribosomal RNA (309 nucleotides) under uncultured bacterium. RNAcentral describes it as "bacterial SSU rRNA". It matches the Rfam family "Bacterial small subunit ribosomal RNA", at positions 28 to 334 of the family's 1533-position model. The record is from RNAcentral.